GAUCAUGGCUCAGGAUGAACGCUAGCGGCAGGCUUAACACAUGCAAGUCGAGGGGCAGCGCGGGGCGGCAACGUCCUGGCGGCGACCGGCGGAAGGGUGCGUAACGCGUGAGCGACACGCCCGUUGCCCGGGGACAACCGGUGGAAACGCCGACUAAUCCCCGAUGGGACGGAGGCCCUCAUGGGUCUCUGUUGAAAGUUACGGCGGCGACGGAUUGGCUCGCGUCCGAUUAGCUUGUUGGCGGGUACGCCACAG
RNAcentral lists this ribosomal RNA (255 nucleotides) under uncultured bacterium. RNAcentral describes it as "partial 16S ribosomal RNA". It matches the Rfam family "Bacterial small subunit ribosomal RNA", at positions 15 to 273 of the family's 1533-position model. The record is from RNAcentral.